This 70-nucleotide transfer RNA is filed under the name Chryseobacterium sp. RNAcentral's name for it is "tRNA-Phe". It matches the Rfam family "tRNA". Rfam says of the family: Transfer RNA (tRNA) molecules are approximately 80 nucleotides in length. Their secondary structure includes four short double-helical elements and three loops (D, anti-codon, and T loops). Further hydrogen bonds mediate the characteristic L-shaped molecular structure. tRNAs have two regions of fundamental functional importance: the anti-codon, which is responsible for specific mRNA codon recognition, and the 3' end, to which the tRNAs corresponding amino acid is attached (by aminoacyl-tRNA synthetases). tRNAs cope with the degeneracy of the genetic code in two manners: having more than one tRNA (with a specific anti-codon) for a particular amino acid; and 'wobble' base-pairing, i.e. permitting non-standard base-pairing at the 3rd anti-codon position. Lineage: Bacteria; Pseudomonadati; Bacteroidota; Flavobacteriia; Flavobacteriales; Weeksellaceae. The record is from RNAcentral.
GGGGGGAUAGCUCAGUGGUAGAGUAUAAGCCUGAAAAGCUUGCCGUGGUGGUUCGAUUCCACCUCUCCCC